GAGAAGCAGGGCACGUGCA
Molecule: non-coding RNA, 19 nt
Filed under: Arabidopsis thaliana (thale cress)
Lineage: Eukaryota; Viridiplantae; Streptophyta; Magnoliopsida; Brassicales; Brassicaceae
Source: RNAcentral